RNAcentral lists this ribosomal RNA (500 nucleotides) under uncultured bacterium. RNAcentral's name for it is "partial 16S ribosomal RNA". It matches the Rfam family "Bacterial small subunit ribosomal RNA", at positions 30 to 523 of the family's 1533-position model. The record is from RNAcentral.
AUUGAACGCUGGCGGCAUGCUUUACACAUGCAAGUCGAACGGCAACAGGGUGCUUGCACCGCUGACGAGUGGCGAACGGGUGAGUAAUGCGUCGGAACGUGCCGAGUAGUGGGGGAUAACGCAGCGAAAGUUGUGCUAAUACCGCAUACGUACUGAGGUAGAAAGUGGGGGACCUUCGGGCCUCACGCUAUUCGAGCGGCCGACGUCUGAUUAGCUAGUAGAUGAGGUAAAGGCUCACCUAGGCGACGAUCAGUAGCGGGUCUGAGAGGAUGAUCCGCCACACUGGGACUGAGACACGGCCCAGACUCCUACGGGAGGCAGCAGUGGGGAAUUUUGGACAAUGGGCGAAAGCCUGAUCCAGCCAUGCCGCGUGUCUGAAGAAGGCCUUCGGGUUGUAAAGGACUUUUGUCAGGGAGGAAAUCCCUAGUGCUAAUAACACUGGGGGAUGACAGUACCUGAAGAAUAAGCACCGGCAAACUCUGUGCCAGCAGCCGCCGUAA